This 592-nucleotide ribosomal RNA is filed under the name uncultured bacterium. RNAcentral describes it as "partial 16S ribosomal RNA". The record is from RNAcentral.
CGGUUACCUUGUUACGACUUAGCCCCAGUCACCAGUUUUACCUUAGGGCGCUCCUUGCGGUUGCACACUUCAGGCACUCCCGGCUUCCAUGGCUUGACGGGCGGUGUGUACAAGGCCCGGGAACGUAUUCACCGCGCCAUGGCUGAUGCGCGAUUACUAGCGAAUCCAGCUUCAUGGAGUCGAGUUGCAGACUCCAAUCCGAACUGAGACAGGCUUUCAAGUUCCGCUUUGCGUCGCCGCAUUGCUUCUCUCUGUACCUGCCAUUGUAACACGUGUGUCGCCCCGGACGUAAGGGCCGUGCUGAUUUGACGUCAUCCCCGCCUUCCUCACAGCUUGCGCCGGCAGUCUCGCCAGAGUCCCCAACUUGACUUGCUGGUAACUGGCGAUGGGGGUUGCGCUCGUUAUGGCACUUAAGCCGACACCUCACGGCACGAGCUGACGACAACCAUGCAGCACCUCGACACAGGCUCCGAAGAGCUACCUCCUUUCAAAAGUAUUCCUGUGUCGUUUGAGCCCGGGUAAGGUUCCUCGCGUAUCAUCGAAUUAAACCACAUGUUCCUCCGCUUGUGCGGGCCCCCGUCAAUUCCUUUGA